GCCUGUCCCGGCCGCGGGUCAGCUAGGUCGGUUGAACCUUGUCGAUGGUCAGUCCAUCAGUCGUGGUCAGUCGUCAGUCAAGUUCGAUUGGUGCUCGGAGGCGGUGUCGACCGAUCGCGCGCUCGUGUUGUGACAACAUCCUCAGUUUUAUCGCGUGCCAAGUGAUCUGGUGGUCAUCGGAUUCAAUUUCCUGUGAUUGUUUCAAACGUUCAUCGACAGGAUUUUUGGUGCCAGCCCCAAUCAGGGAGCAUCGGAUGGAAUAAAUUCACAAGUCUCAAGAUCAUUAUCAAUGGGACCGAAAAAAUCUGUGAGUAGACUUCAACCAGUCAUGACGAAAAUGAAGGACAUUUCAAACUGUGUCAGAGCAAAGUUAUCAAGCUGCAAUGCGAAAUUUUUGAGGCAUAAAAAUGACAAAGCAGAUGAAAAAGUUGAGCACGAACAACAGACCUGCAUUGGAGACACUCAACAGAGCUUCGAACUCAAACAACUUGACACCAAGAACUAUGAUCAUUAUUUCAAGAAUAACACUAGAUUCUACAACUACCAACGAACAAGACGAAUAAGCGAAAACUCGGAUCCUGAGCAACAUUACCAGAUUAGUAAAGAACAGUGCAAACAAGACAAUGACGGCCAAUACCCAAAUAAAAUGGCUAAAAUACAAACGAACAGACCAAGACACACUCUUCGACCACAGCGAAUAAGACAAAGAUUGGCCAUCAAUCAUCAAACCUUCAUCAAACCAAACGAUGAACUUCAAAGCAAUGAAUUGGACUGCAACAACAAUGAAAAGAGCAAAGAAAUUUGCACCUGCAAGAGCCAAAAUGUGAAUGAAGUUGAGUGUGAGCCCGAUAUAUUCAGUGAAGAUGAACGAACAAUAUUUGAGUCGGAGGAGGAAGAAACGAUAGCUGACUAUCACCCCAAACCUGCUCAACCUGCAUACGUCCAAAAACCUUAUCAGCUCAUGCACCCAGAUUGGAGGUGGAUACCUCAUGUGCCUCUGUACGGUUGGACACCCCAUCAUGAACAGAACAUUCGGAGGUUGUAUGAUGAGAUGGCUGAAGGACGUAUAACUUCUAUGUAUUACAAGGAUCCAGUUGAGUACGAGGAAUGUGAACGCCUAUACCGAAGUCUGAAAAAACAUGACCACUUCCUCAAAAAACCGACAGUGAGUACAUUAGAAGAAGUUUUUGAACUUAUUAAGAAAACAAUACAACACGAUGACCGGUUUAAACAGCCUAAAAGGACAAAAUGCCCUUCGUUUGGAAAAGAAGACAACGGUUAUGAUGCUGAUAUUGAAGAAACAGUGAUCUAAGCGAUCAAAGUUUGACCCUCAAUCCAAAUAACAAGUACCAAUAGUUGAAAGAAAAAACAUUUGAAUGUAACACUUGAAAAGGACAGAAUAUUCAGGUUCUUGAACGAUUUGUUUAAUUGUUGCAAAAAGAAUUAUUUGCCAAAAACACAUUACUUUCUCUAAUUUCAGCAAAAUUGUAAAAUGCUAAGUUAUGACUCUACAAUAUCAUGAUAUGUAAUUGUGAAGUUUUUUACCUAUUAUUUGAAGAAAAUUGUAAUCUACUUCCUUUAUGACUGUUGAAAAAUGCCUCUCUUUUGGUUAGUAGAAGAAAGUUUAUCAAACCUAUUCACUAAAAACAAAAAAAUUCUAUUCCUAAUGUUCCUUACUGCAGCUAAAUUCAUUUGAAAAUACUUACUGACAAUUUUAAACAUAAAAAGGCAAAUACCUGGACUUAGAAAUUCACUCCUCUGUUGUGUGUGAGUAGCAAUUUAUUUACAGAGAUUUUCAACGUUUUUAGGAUUUAUUUGUGUUACUUUGUUUAUAACUGACGAACAGUUAUUAUUUCCAAAGGUAAUUGAUGCUAAUUUUCCAUUCAAUGACAUAGAGUUAUAAUUGGCAAAAAGAAAAUUAGGAAUAUUUUACAUCUCUUUCAGUGAAAGAAAUUUUCUAUUAUUUUGUUCAUAAUAUAGUGAUUUUAAAGCAUGUGAUGUAAAUAUAUUGUGUGAUAAUGUAAAAUAAAUACGUUAAUUCCAAUAAUAUUCUUUCUUCACUUUAUUAUUUUACCAUACUUAAAAUUAAAAUACAAAAAGAUCGUUACUGUGCAAAAUUAGCACGACAAAAUUAAAAUUCACAUUAGGUUUCUUUUGGAAUUUAAUCAUGUAGGUAGGUAGAUGAAAUCAAUAUGUUUCAAAUUUCACGGUGACUUGCAAUUAAGAAAUAUCUUGUAAGUUCAGUGGAUGGACUACAUACUUAGGUAUAUAUUCUGCUGAAGAAAAGUGAUUAGUAACAUAUGAAUAAUGUGUUUUCUUCAUUUUUCCUGACAGAAACAACAUAUUUAAGCUAACUCAAGCCCUUUUCCAAUUUAAGUUGGGAACUACAAAUUAACUUUCCCGGUAGAACUUUUUAGAGCUUAGAGGUGUCUCAAGGAUAUUGUUACGAAAAACGGUAACACAUUAGAAAAACAGUGAUUCAUAAUAAAAAUUUGAGAACGCCUAAUUUAUCACA
RNAcentral lists this long non-coding RNA (2515 nucleotides) under Bemisia tabaci. Its description in RNAcentral is "lncRNA ENSSSA1UGG002963". Lineage: Eukaryota; Metazoa; Arthropoda; Insecta; Hemiptera; Aleyrodidae. The record is from RNAcentral.